AUACGGAGGAUGCAAGCGUUAUCCGGAUUUAUUGGGUUUAAAGGGUGCGUAGGCGGUUUGCUAAGCGGGAGGUGAAAUGCCGGCGCUCAACGUCGGAAGUGCCUCCCGAACUGGUGGACUGGAAUGACUCUGCCGUGGGAGGAAUGUGUAGUGUAGCGGUGAAAUGCUUAGAGAUUACACAGAACACCGAUUGCGAAGGCAUCUCACGAAAGGGCAACUGACGCUGAGGCACGAAAGCGUGGGGAUCAAACAGGCUUAGAUACCCUGGUAGUCCACGCUGUAAACGAUGAUGACUAACUGUCGGCGAUAUACAGUCGGUAGCCAAGCGAAAGCGAUAAGUCAUCCACCUGGGGAGUACGACCGCAAGGCUGAAACUCAAAGGAAUUGACGGGG
Molecule: ribosomal RNA, 393 nt
Filed under: uncultured bacterium
Lineage: Bacteria
Description: partial 16S ribosomal RNA
Rfam family: Bacterial small subunit ribosomal RNA
Source: RNAcentral